RNAcentral lists this non-coding RNA (21 nucleotides) under Caenorhabditis elegans. Lineage: Eukaryota; Metazoa; Nematoda; Chromadorea; Rhabditida; Rhabditidae. The record is from RNAcentral.
UAUGUUGAUUUUAUAAUCAGU